AGAGUUUGAUCAUGGCUCAGAUUGAACGCUGGCGGCAGGCCUAACACAUGCAAGUCGAGCGGUAGCACAGAGAGCUUGCUCUCGGGUGACGAGCGGCGGACGGGUGAGUAAUGUCUGGGAAACUGCCUGAUGGAGGGGGAUAACUACUGGAAACGGUAGCUAAUACCGCAUAAUGUCGCAAGACCAAAGUGGGGGACCUUCGGGCCUCAUGCCAUCAGAUGUGCCCAGAUGGGAUUAGCUCGKAGGUGGGGUAACGGCUCACCUAGGCGACGAUCCCUAGCUGGUCUGAGAGGAUGACCAGCCACACUGGAACUGAGACACGGUCCAGACUCCUACGGGAGGCAGCAGUGGGGAAUAUUGCACAAUGGGCGCAAGCCUGAUGCAGCCAUGCCGCGUGUGUGAAGAAGGCCUUCGGGUUGUAAAGCACUUUCAGCGGGGAGGAAGGCGGUGAGGUUAAUAACCUCAUCGAUUGACGUUACCCGCAGAAGAAGCACCGGCUAACUCCGUGCCAGCAGCCGCGGUAAUACGGAGGGUGCAAGCGUUAAUCGGAAUUACUGGGCGUAAAGCGCACGCAGGCGGUCUGUCAAGUCGGAUGUGAAAUCCCCGGGCUUAACCUGGGAACUGCAUUCGAAACUGGCAGGCUAGAGUCUUGUAGAGGGGGGUAGAAUUCCAGGUGUAGCGGUGAAAUGCGUAGAGAUCUGGAGGAAUACCGGUGGCGAAGGCGGCCCCCUGGACAAAGACUGACGCUCAGGUGCGAAAGCGUGGGGAGCAAACAGGAUUAGAUACCCUGGUAGUCCACGCCGUAAACGAUGUCGAUUUGGAGGUUGUGCCCUUGAGGCGUGGCUUCCGGAGCUAACGCGUUAAAUCGACCGCCUGGGGAGUACGGCCGCAAGGUUAAAACUCAAAUGAAUUGACGGGGGCCCGCACAAGCGGUGGAGCAUGUGGUUUAAUUCGAUGCAACGCGAAGAACCUUACCUGGUCUUGACAUCCACAGAACUUUCCAGAGAUGGAUUGGUGCCUUCGGGAACUGUGAGACAGGUGCUGCAUGGCUGUCGUCAGCUCGUGUUGUGAAAUGUUGGGUUAAGUCCCGCAACGAGCGCAACCCUUAUCCUUUGUUGCCAGCGGUUCGGCCGGGAACUCAAAGGAGACUGCCAGUGAUAAACUGGAGGAAGGUGGGGAUGACGUCAAGUCAUCAUGGCCCUUACGACCAGGGCUACACACGUGCUACAAUGGCAUAUACAAAGAGAAGCGACCUCGCGAGAGCAAGCGGACCUCAUAAAGUAUGUCGUAGUCCGGAUUGGAGUCUGCAACUCGACUCCAUGAAGUCGGAAUCGCUAGUAAUCGUAGAUCAGAAUGCUACGGUGAAUACGUUCCCGGGCCUUGUACACACCGCCCGUCACACCAUGGGAGUGGGUUGCAAAAGAAGUAGGUAGCUUAACCUUCGGGAGGGCGCUUACCACUUUGUGAUUCAUGACUGGGGUGAAGUCGUAACAAGGUAACCGUAGGGGAACCUGCGGUUG
Molecule: ribosomal RNA, 1520 nt
Filed under: Klebsiella pneumoniae
Lineage: Bacteria; Pseudomonadati; Pseudomonadota; Gammaproteobacteria; Enterobacterales; Enterobacteriaceae
Description: bacterial SSU rRNA
Source: RNAcentral